UAAAUAGCUGUGAGCAGGACGAGUACAUGUGUACACUUAAGUACAGCGAGCCGGUGACCGGAUUUUCCGGAGGUGUGAUGACCGGCCUUGAGAGCAUAUGGAAUGGACCUGUGAGCUGCCCACCAAACGCAAAUGCAAGUAGGCUGGGCCGGAUGCCACCGUUAACAGGCUAGGGUAUCGGAUGCAGUAUAUCCCGUACCUGAAUAAGGGAAAGUGUUAGGCUUUUCAAAUAGGGUGGUAUCGCGACCAUUUCGCCCCUGGGGUGAAAUGGUCUUUUUAUUUUCCGCCUGCACUUUCCAAUUUAGGGUGGUACCGCGAACCAUUUCGCCCCUUUU
This 335-nucleotide non-coding RNA is filed under the name Sporomusa sphaeroides. RNAcentral's name for it is "Sporomusa sp. T-box sequence". The stretch from base 1 to 262 matches the Rfam family "T-box leader". From Rfam's summary of the family: Uncharged tRNA acts as the effector for transcription antitermination of genes in the T-box leader family. T-boxes are found upstream of many aminoacyl-tRNA synthetase genes and some amino acid biosynthetic genes usually in Gram-positive bacteria. The record is from RNAcentral. Lineage: Bacteria; Bacillati; Bacillota; Negativicutes; Selenomonadales; Sporomusaceae.